RNAcentral lists this transfer RNA (74 nucleotides) under Candidatus Berkelbacteria bacterium. RNAcentral describes it as "tRNA-Gln". It matches the Rfam family "tRNA". Rfam says of the family: Transfer RNA (tRNA) molecules are approximately 80 nucleotides in length. Their secondary structure includes four short double-helical elements and three loops (D, anti-codon, and T loops). Further hydrogen bonds mediate the characteristic L-shaped molecular structure. tRNAs have two regions of fundamental functional importance: the anti-codon, which is responsible for specific mRNA codon recognition, and the 3' end, to which the tRNAs corresponding amino acid is attached (by aminoacyl-tRNA synthetases). tRNAs cope with the degeneracy of the genetic code in two manners: having more than one tRNA (with a specific anti-codon) for a particular amino acid; and 'wobble' base-pairing, i.e. permitting non-standard base-pairing at the 3rd anti-codon position. The record is from RNAcentral. Lineage: Bacteria; Candidatus Berkelbacteria.
UGGGGAGUCGUCUAAUGGCAGGACAGCGGCCUUUGGAGCCGUUAGUAAUGGUUCGAAUCCAUUCUCCCCAGCCA